Molecule: ribosomal RNA, 405 nt
Filed under: Acetobacteraceae bacterium H20_10_1SCO2
Lineage: Bacteria; Pseudomonadati; Pseudomonadota; Alphaproteobacteria; Acetobacterales; Acetobacteraceae
Description: bacterial SSU rRNA
Rfam family: Bacterial small subunit ribosomal RNA
Source: RNAcentral
GGCCAAAGGAGAGAUCCGCCAUUGGAGGGGCCUGCGUUCGAUUAGCUAGUUGGUUGGGUAAAGGCUGACCAAGGCGAUGAUCGAUAGCUGGUUUGAGAGGAUGAUCAGCCACACUGGGACUGAGACACGGCCCAGACUCCUACGGGAGGCAGCAGUGGGGAAUAUUGGACAAUGGGGGCAACCCUGAUCCAGCAAUGCCGCGUGUGUGAAGAAGGUCUUCGGAUUGUAAAGCACUUUCACUAGGGAAGAUGAUGACGGUACCUAGAGAAGAAGCCCCGGCUAACUUCGUGCCAGCANCCGCGGUAAUACNAAGGGGGCUAGCGUUGCUCGGAAUGACUGGGCGUAAANGGCGCGUAGGCUGUUUGUACAGUCAGAUGUGAAAUCCCCGGGCUUAACCUGGGAACU